RNAcentral lists this ribosomal RNA (496 nucleotides) under uncultured bacterium. RNAcentral's name for it is "partial 16S ribosomal RNA". It matches the Rfam family "Bacterial small subunit ribosomal RNA", at positions 30 to 507 of the family's 1533-position model. The record is from RNAcentral.
AUGAACGCUGGCGGCGUGCCUAAUACAUGCAAGUCGCGCGAACAGACGAGGAGCUUGCUCCUCUGACGUUAGCGGCGGACGGGUGAGUAACACGUGGAUAACCUACCUAUAAGACUGGGAUAACUUCGGGAAACCGGAGCUAAUACCGGACAAUAUAUUGAACCGCAUGGUUCAAUAGUGAAAGACGGUUUUGCUGUCACUUAUAGAUGGAUCCGCGCUGCAUUAGCUAGUUGGUAAGGUAACGGCCUACCAAGGCGACGAUGCAUAGCCGACCUGGGAGGAGGAAGAACCAAGCUAGAACUGUAGGGCAGACCAGACGCGGAAGGGGCGCGAAAGUGGGGAAUAGAGGACAAAGUGCGAAAGAAUAGUACAGAGAGGCCACGAAAGUGAAGAAGGACUUCGGAUCGUAAAGCGGUUUAACAGCGGAAGAACAAGAGAGUAAUAAACGCUCGCCGACAUGGCGGUAAAGAGAAAAGAAGCCACGGACAAAUUCGUG